This 507-nucleotide ribosomal RNA is filed under the name uncultured bacterium. Its description in RNAcentral is "bacterial SSU rRNA". It matches the Rfam family "Bacterial small subunit ribosomal RNA", at positions 21 to 518 of the family's 1533-position model. The record is from RNAcentral.
GGCUCAGAACGAACGCUGGCGGCGCGUUUAAGCAUGCAAGUCGAGCGGCAAGGGCCUUCGGGCCCCUAGAGCGGCGGACGGGUGAGUAACACGUGGACAAUCUGCCCCCCGGCCCGGGAUAGCCCAGGGAAACCUGGAUUAAUACCGGAUGAGACGGGACCCGCGAUGGCGGGACCCGGGAAAGGCGCUGCGGCGCCGCCGGGGGAUGAGUCUGCGUCCCAUUAGCUAGACGGCGGGGUAACGGCCCACCGUGGCGACGAUGGGUAGCCGGCCUGAGAGGGUGGACGGCCACAUUGGAACUGAGACACGGUCCAGACUCCUACGGGAGGCAGCAGCUAAGAAUCUUCCGCAAUGGGCGAAAGCCUGACGGAAGCGACGCCGCGUGAACGAAGAAGGCCGUGAGGUUGUAAAGUUCUUUUCGGGAGGGGGAACAACCGUGGCAGGGAAUGGCCGCGGGAUGACGUGAAUCCCGGAAUAAGCCCCGGCUAACUACGUGCCAGCCGCGGC